GGGGAUAUAGUGUAGUGGUUUAACACGCCUGGCUGUCUACCAGGUAGCACGGGUUCAAAUCCCGUUAUCCUCG
Molecule: transfer RNA, 73 nt
Filed under: Bacillus cereus
Lineage: Bacteria; Bacillati; Bacillota; Bacilli; Caryophanales; Bacillaceae
Also listed under: 2 other names
Description: tRNA-Asp
Rfam family: tRNA
About the family: Transfer RNA (tRNA) molecules are approximately 80 nucleotides in length. Their secondary structure includes four short double-helical elements and three loops (D, anti-codon, and T loops).
Source: RNAcentral